RNAcentral lists this ribosomal RNA (253 nucleotides) under uncultured bacterium. RNAcentral's name for it is "partial 16S ribosomal RNA". It matches the Rfam family "Bacterial small subunit ribosomal RNA", at positions 524 to 776 of the family's 1533-position model. The record is from RNAcentral.
UACGGAGGGUGCAAGCGUUGUUCGGAAUUAUUGGGCGUAAAGCGCGUGUAGGCGGGCCACUAAGUCUGGUGUGAAAUCCCUCGGCUUAACUGAGGACGUGCAUCGGAUACUGGUGGUCUUGAGUCCUGGAGAGGGUAGCGGAAUUCCCAGUGUAGAGGUGAAAUUCGUAGAUAUUGGGAGGAACACCGGUGGCGAAGGCGGCUACCUGGACAGUGACUGACGCUGAGACGCGAAAGCAUGGGUAGCAAACAGG